GCGCCCGUAGCGUAACGGAUAGCGCAGUGGCCUCCGGAGCCAUACGUGGCCGUUCAAUUCGGCUCGGGCGCACCA
Molecule: transfer RNA, 75 nt
Filed under: Candidatus Omnitrophota bacterium
Lineage: Bacteria; Pseudomonadati; Candidatus Omnitrophota
Description: Candidatus Omnitrophica bacterium (sediment metagenome) tRNA-Arg
Rfam family: tRNA
About the family: Transfer RNA (tRNA) molecules are approximately 80 nucleotides in length. Their secondary structure includes four short double-helical elements and three loops (D, anti-codon, and T loops).
Source: RNAcentral